GUGAGGAGAAUUAACCCCUUCUCAGCCAAAACCAGCACAAAUAGCUAUUGUGCUAAGGGGAUCUUUCAUCUGCGUCUUUCCUCCGACCCAGUACAGCUGUCUUGGGUUCACAUAUCUUCAGAAUGCAUGAGAGAAAAAUGUCUUUUACAGCCUUCAGGCUAUAUCUGAGACCCAUGUGCGGGAGGGAGACAGAAGGACCUGGGAACAUUCUGUGCUUCCAAGAAUUUAAUAUUGGAUAUCCUAGUGCCAGUAUAGACAUCCCCAAUGGUGACAUCCCCAUGUUCCCAAAGCUCACCUGGCAGACUUCCUUCAUGGGUUUUUGGGAUGCUUUAGGCAGAGCCACACAUUUCAUCCUACACAAGCACCAGAGGAAAAUCGAGUUAAAAGUGUUGCUUACUGUUAAGAGUAAGAAGCUGAGAUGAACAUAUUACUAUGGAUCUCAUAAAGAUUAUAGGCCUUGAGAAGCUCUGCAUCCUCAGCGUGUCCCAGAAGGCAUUCGGUAGCAUCAUAUACACAAAUUAGACAUGGUGUUUGACUGACGAAUAUAUGGAUGAUCAGCCAUGGCAAAUGCAGCAUUGCUAAAAUAAGUAUCCUGAAUCCUUCCACAAGUGAAGUUAACACGGACUGGUAACAAAGCAUGGAAGUUAUGUUGGUAUGAGCAAAAUGUAGACUAAACCUGCACUGCA
This is a non-coding RNA of Phalacrocorax carbo (great cormorant), 686 nucleotides long. The record is from RefSeq and is a predicted model, not a curated record. Lineage: Eukaryota; Metazoa; Chordata; Aves; Suliformes; Phalacrocoracidae.